Molecule: ribosomal RNA, 497 nt
Filed under: uncultured bacterium
Lineage: Bacteria
Description: partial 16S ribosomal RNA
Rfam family: Bacterial small subunit ribosomal RNA
Source: RNAcentral
GAUGAACGCUGGCGGCGUGCCUAAUACAUGCAAGUCGAGCGAACAGACGAGGAGCUUGCUCCUCUGACGUUAGCGGCUGACGGGUGAGUAACACGUGGAUAACCUACCUAUAAUUCUGGGAUAACUUCGGGAAACCGGAGCUAAUACCGGAUAAUAUAUUGAACCGCAUGGUUCAAUAGUGAAAGACGGUUUUGCUGUCACUUAUAUAUGGAUCCGCGCCGCAUUAGCUAGUUGGUAAGGUAACGGCUUACCAAGGCAACGAUGCGUAGCCGACAUGAGAGGGUGAUCGGCCACACUGGAACUGAGACACGGUCCAGACUCCUACGGGAGGCAGCAGUAGGGAAUCUUCCGCAAUGGGCGAAAGCCUGACGGAGCAACGCCGCGUGAGUGAUGAAGGUCUUCGGAUCGUAAAACUCUGUUAUUAGGGAAGAACAAAUGUGUAAGUAACUAUGCACGUCUUGACGGUAACUAAUCAGAAAGCCACGGCUAACUACGUG